This 253-nucleotide ribosomal RNA is filed under the name uncultured bacterium. RNAcentral describes it as "partial 16S ribosomal RNA". It matches the Rfam family "Bacterial small subunit ribosomal RNA", at positions 524 to 776 of the family's 1533-position model. The record is from RNAcentral.
UACGGAGGGUGCAAGCGUUAAUCGGAAUUACUGGGCGUAAAGCGUGCGUAGGCGGUUCGUUAAGUCUGCUGUGAAAGCCCCGGGCUCAACCUGGGAAUUGCAUUUGAGACUGCGUAGCUAGGGUGCGGAAGAGGGAAGCGGAAUUUCCGGUGUAGCGGUGAAAUGCGUAGAUAUCGGAAGGAACACCAGUGGCGAAAGCGGCUUCCUGGUCCAGCACCGACGUUCAGGCACGAAAGCGUGGGGAGCAAACAGG